This 327-nucleotide small RNA is filed under the name Histoplasma capsulatum. RNAcentral's name for it is "hypothetical RNA". RNAcentral also lists the same sequence under 1 other name. Lineage: Eukaryota; Fungi; Ascomycota; Eurotiomycetes; Onygenales; Ajellomycetaceae. The record is from RNAcentral.
UGCCCAAUUGUGUGCCGUUUCCCUUUGACAAGCGACAGGUUGAUGUCGGGUUGGGUUCAGUCGUUUAUUUUUGUGGAUGCUUGUAAUGCGAGCUGUCCGCUGUAAAAUAUUAGAAGCGCAUGUAUUUGAUUGGCAUUACUUUACAGCGAAGUUACCAAAGCGCCGCCCUCAAAAUAUUUUUGGAGGCUUGCAGUGUGGAUGAUGCAUGUCAUCACGCUUUUGAAAUAAACUAAACCGACUUCGGAUGGCGGUUCUGUCGGCCUGAAUCUAUGUUUCUAUGAGCUGUUGCGCCCGAAUGCAUCAUCAUCAUCAUUAUUAUUUUUGAUU